RNAcentral lists this non-coding RNA (25 nucleotides) under Mus musculus (house mouse). Lineage: Eukaryota; Metazoa; Chordata; Mammalia; Rodentia; Muridae. The record is from RNAcentral.
UCUCCUCAGAUUCGGUUUGCCACUC